AGGGGGUGACCCGGUGCCGUGUGCCCCCGCAGCGCGAGUGCAUCUCCAUCCACGUGGGCCAAGCGGGCGUGCAGAUCGGCAAUGCCUGCUGGGAGCUGUACUGCCUGGAGCACGGCAUCCAGCCCGACGGGCAGAUGCCCAGCGACAAGACCAUCGGCGGGGGGGGACGACUCCUUCAACACCUUCUUCAGCGAGACGGGGGCCGGCAAGCACGUGCCCCGGGCCGUCUUCGUGGACCUGGAGCCCACGGUGAUCGACGAGGUGCGCACGGGGACGUACCGGCAGCUCUUCCACCCCGAGCAGCUGAUCACGGGCAAGGAGGAUGCGGCCAACAACUACGCCCGCGGGCACUACACCAUCGGGAAGGAGAUCAUCGACCUGGUCCUCGACCGCAUCCGCAAGCUGGCUGACCAGUGCACAGGGCUGCAGGGCUUCCUGGUGUUCCACAGCUUCGGGGGCGGCACCGGCUCCGGCUUCACCUCCCUGCUCAUGGAGCGGCUCUCUGUCGACUACGGCAAGAAGUCCAAGCUGGAGUUCUCCAUCUACCCGGCCCCGCAGGUCUCCACGGCCGUGGUGGAGCCCUACAACUCCAUCCUCACCACCCACACCACCCUGGAGCACUCCGACUGCGCCUUCAUGGUGGACAACGAGGCCAUCUAUGACAUCUGCCGCCGCAACCUGGACAUCGAGAGACCCACCUACACCAACCUCAACCGCCUCAUCAGCCAGGUCGUGUCCUCCAUCACGGCCUCGCUGCGCUUCGACGGGGCCCUGAACGUCGACCUGACGGAGUUCCAGACCAACCUGGUGCCGUACCCCCGCAUCCACUUCCCGCUGGCCACCUACGCCCCCGUCAUCUCCGCCGAGAAGGCUUAUCACGAGCAGCUGUCGGUGGCCGAGAUCACCAACGCCUGCUUCGAGCCGGCCAACCAGAUGGUGAAGUGCGACCCCCGGCACGGCAAGUACAUGGCGUGCUGCCUGCUGUACCGCGGGGACGUGGUGCCCAAGGACGUCAACGCCGCCAUCGCCACCAUCAAGACCAAGCGCACCAUCCAGUUUGUGGACUGGUGCCCCACUGGGUUCAAGGUGGGCAUCAACUACCAGCCGCCCACGGUGGUGCCCGGGGGGGACCUGGCCAAGGUGCAGAGGGCCGUGUGCAUGCUGAGCAA
RNA transcript from Corapipo altera (White-ruffed manakin), 1169 nucleotides. It is a transcript of the gene named tubulin alpha-1C chain-like, with no coding region annotated. The record is from RefSeq and is a predicted model, not a curated record. The transcript is spliced from 3 exons. Lineage: Eukaryota; Metazoa; Chordata; Aves; Passeriformes; Pipridae.